Long non-coding RNA from Sebastes umbrosus (honeycomb rockfish), 396 nucleotides. RefSeq lists it as uncharacterized. The transcript is spliced from 2 exons. Lineage: Eukaryota; Metazoa; Chordata; Actinopteri; Perciformes; Sebastidae. The record is from RefSeq and is a predicted model, not a curated record.
ACCUGAGGAGGUUAGGCGCCCAGACGAUGGCCAGGUUUUUAGUGUGCAUGUUAGUGAUGGGGCUGAAGGUGGCAAGGUUGGAGAGGUGUCUCAUGAGGUACUCCAACGUCCUGUAGUGUGGAGGAGGCAGCUGCUGGAUGACAUUGUGGAUUUUGACCAGCCUCUCCUCAUCUGUGGCUGCAGACACGGCCUCCUGUGAAGACAGAGGAUAAAGCGCACGUCACUGCUGAGAGGCCGAUAAUCACAGCAGAGGGAGUCGCCUUAACAGUCCCACUCGCUUUUUUUUUUUUCUCCCUUUUAUAGUCAGAGCAGGGCAGUGUUUUUUUUUUUUUGACUCGCUUCAUCUGCUAUUCCGUUUUAGCGUGUACAUCCCCUGCUGUUCCUAGAAAGCUGAGA